AGGAUGAACGCUAGCGGCAGGCUUUAUACAUGCAAGUCGAACGGCAGCACAGUGUAGCAAUACAUGGGUGGCGAGUGGCGCACGGGUGCGUAACACGUAUGCAAUUUGCCCAUAACUGGGGGAUAGCCCUCCGAAAGGAGGAUUAAUACCCCAUAACCCAGCGAGGUGGCAUCACUUUUCUGGUAAAUCUCCGGAGGUUAUGGAUGAGCAUGCGUCUGAUUAGCUAGUUGGUGAGGUAACGGCUCACCAAGGCAACGAUCAGUAGGGGGUCUGAGAGGAUGAUCCCCCACACGGGUACUGAGACACGGACCCGACUCCUACGGGAGGCAGCAGUAAGGAAUAUUGGACAAUGGAGGCAACUCUGAUCCAGCCAUGCCGCGUGAAGGAUGAAGGCCCUACGGGUUGUAAACUUCUUUUCUCUUAGAAAAAACUACUGGUUUCGUACCGGUACUGAUUGUACAAGAGGAAUAAGCAUCGGCUAACUUCGUGCCAGCAGCCGCGGUAAUACGAAGGAUGCAAGCGUUAUCCGGAUUCACUGGGUUUAAAGGGGUGCAGGUGGGGUAAUAAGUCAGUGGUGAAAGCCCCCGACUCAAUCGGGGAACUGCCAUAGAUACUGUUAUUCUUGAGUGUGGUUGAGGCGGAUGGAAUAUGACAUGUAGCGGUGAAAUGCUUAGAUAUGUCAUAGAACACCGAUCGCGAAGGCAGUCCGCCAAACCAUUACUGACACUGAAACACGAAAGUGCGGGGAUCAAACAGGAUUAGAUACCCUGGUAGUCCGCACCGUAAACGAUGAUCACUCGUUGUUGGCGAUACACAGUCAGCGACUAAGCGAAAGCAUUAAGUGAUCCACCUGGGGAAGUACGACCGCAAGGUGAAAC
Molecule: ribosomal RNA, 878 nt
Filed under: uncultured bacterium
Lineage: Bacteria
Description: bacterial SSU rRNA
Rfam family: Bacterial small subunit ribosomal RNA
Source: RNAcentral